UACGGGGGGGGUAAGCGUUGUUCGGAAUUACUGGGCGUAAAGGGCUCGUAGGCGGCCAACUAAGUCAUACGUGAAAUCCCUCAGCUUAACUGGGGAACUGCGUGUGAUACUGGAUGGCUUGGAUUUGGGAGAGGGAUGCGGAAUUCCAGGUGUAGCGGUGAAAUGCGUAGAUAUCGGAAGGAACACCAGUGGCGAAGGCGGCUACCUGGACAGACACUGACGCUGAGGCGCGAGAGCGUGGGGAGCAAACAGG
This 253-nucleotide ribosomal RNA is filed under the name uncultured bacterium. Its description in RNAcentral is "partial 16S ribosomal RNA". It matches the Rfam family "Bacterial small subunit ribosomal RNA", at positions 524 to 776 of the family's 1533-position model. The record is from RNAcentral.